GCUGUGGCUCAGUGGCAGAGCAUGUGCUUGGUACGCACAAGGUCUACGUUCACUCUCCAGCAUCUCCA
RNAcentral lists this transfer RNA (68 nucleotides) under Sphaerodactylus townsendi. Its description in RNAcentral is "tRNA-Thr". It matches the Rfam family "tRNA". From Rfam's summary of the family: Transfer RNA (tRNA) molecules are approximately 80 nucleotides in length. Their secondary structure includes four short double-helical elements and three loops (D, anti-codon, and T loops). The record is from RNAcentral. Lineage: Eukaryota; Metazoa; Chordata; Lepidosauria; Squamata; Sphaerodactylidae.